Paramisgurnus dabryanus is the source of this 2355-nucleotide long non-coding RNA. RefSeq lists it as uncharacterized. NCBI's taxonomy places the organism in Eukaryota, Metazoa, Chordata, Actinopteri, Cypriniformes, Cobitidae. The record is from RefSeq and is a predicted model, not a curated record.
AGUACACACACAGUACGACUGAAGUGUCGCUGGAAGGCUGCAGGAACAGAAACCCCUGGAAAGAUCUUGCCCUUACCGAAGUUUGAAGGAAGAAUGUGCAAAGGGUAUUAUCUCUAUGUUCCCAUGCUUUGCUGACCCCAGGAGCAAGCAUAGUUAUGAGCAUUAUUACAAUGCAGAAGAUGGAAGUGGAUAUUUGGUGUGGAGAAUUAAAACUUUCCAAAAAGAAGCAUCAGAGGGACGGAUAAAACGCCCACGGCAACCACAAACAGGUGCAUCAUUUGCAGAUUGAUCAAGAUUUUGGACUUCUAUUUGGUGAGUCGACCGCUGCAAAGUUGUUGGAGAAGUGGUCUACCAACAUAAAACCAAAGGUUAUUGCACAGACCCGUGGCCUCACACAGACUUGUAAGCAUCCAAAAUGCUGAAGCCACUGAAGUUGAAGAUGGUAACUAUUGUGCUAUACAAGUUAUGAUUCAUGAAGAAUGGCUUUAGAUCUAUAGUUUCAAUUGAAGUCACAAUGUUACCCAUCAGACAUGCAUUAUUCAUAUGCAGCACAGAUUUAAGUAAAUAAUCAGAAUAAAAAUUACCGGUUUCUCUUAACAUUUCUACCUUGACCUUAGUGAUAUUGAAAUGAGGUCAUACAGUUAAAAUUAUUUACAACAUAUAAUCCAUGCUUUUGUUAUUUAGAGUCCCAAAUGAAAACAAUUUUAAACUGUAAAUCUUCAACUCGCGUACUAGGCCCUUGUGAAAACCCAUCUGAAAGUGCUCUAUUUUUACACACUAAUUUUUUAUAUACAAUACGAUUAUUCUUCUUUAGUACUUAAAGAAAAUCUUAAAAACAUCUAAGGAUACUUGUCUGUACUAUUUUGAGACACCAUGAAUAUGAACUUAAAUGUGCUUAAAAUAUAUUUAAAAAAUGUAUUUAGUUACUGCUUGUAGUAAACUUAAACCCAUCUUUCAUACAAACAAGUGGUAAAUAAAUACAUUUUUUAAAUAUAUUUUAAGCACAUUUUAGUUUACAUUCAUGGUGUCUCAAAAUAGCACAAUAAUUUUUAAUAUUAUUAAGGACAAAAUUAGUGUGCGAAAAGAGAGCACUUUCAGUACGUUAUUGAAGUGUACCUUCUUUUUCAGCUGGGUUUUCACAAGGGCCUAGUACGUGAGUUGCAGAUUUACACUUUUAAAUGUUUUAAUUUGGGACUCUGAUAACAAACGUAUGGUUUAUAUAUUGUAAAUAAAGUUUAAAGGGGACGUAUCAUGAAAAUCUGACUUUUUCCUUGUUUAAGUGCUAUAAUUGGGUCCCCAGUGCUUCUAUCAACAGAGAAAAUGUGAAAAAGAUCAACCCAGUAACUUAGUUUUGAUAAACCAUUCUUUGCAAGCAUGUGAAAAAAUAGCUCAUUGAAAUUUGGCUCCCCUUGUGAUGUAAGAAGGGGAUCUUAUUAUAAUAAUACCGCCUCUUAAUCUGCACUAUUCAACCACUGCCAUUUAGUGCAGCUCAUUUGCAUUUAAAAGGACACACCCAACAACUGCACACCCCUUUUGCUCACCCCUACAAAGUGUAAAUUUUAACAUGUUACAAUAAAUUGUCUAUAUGGUAUUUUGAGCUAGAACUUCACAUACAUACUCUGGGCAGGCCCGGAUUAAGAGGACUUUGGGCCCUGGGGCUAUAGCAAACACCAAAGGCCCCCCUUCAUCUGAUUGCCAAGCCAGUCUUCUACCGCAAUAGCUAUACAUAUUUUUUAUUGUUAUUAAUCAAUGUAUUUAAUUAGUGUUUUUCUUUAACAUUAUUUAUUAUUAUUUUUGCACACUAAAGAGUUCAGGCUAUUUAACACAGUAACCCUCAACUGCACAGAUUUUGGGAACAUUUUAUUGAUAAAACAUUUGUACCCUAUGUAGUGCAUUUACUCCAGAUAUGAACUCAAAAACAUAAAGGUUGCCAAAAAUCAGCAAAAACAUUACUCCUACUUCAGUCAUACUUCCUCAAUAAGUACUUAACCAUGAAUAAUUUAGGGAUAGUUCAAAAACAUCACCCUCAUGUUGAUAGCAUGAGGGUUAUUAAUAGCCUAUAUUUACACUGCAUUCACAAUUACAUAAAUGCUAUGAUUGUUAUUUUAGAAGAGUUUUUUGAAGAGCUGAUAUACAAAGUGAUUUUGGCUACACUACCUCUCAAGCAUUGCAGAGCUUUAGGCUACUGAUGCUCUUCUCAUCUUGUUGUGUUUAUGAGCGCUUUUAAUUUUAAAUGCAAGUGAUAGUUGGAUUGUAGAUCGCGUAUGGCGAAGACAAUUCAGCGCAAAUUCAAAAAUAUGAGAGAAUACACUGUUACACAGAACAACAGAACACGCGCGCAUAACGCACCGCACC